GUAGGUGAACCUGCGGAAGGAUCAUUAACACAAAAAGUCUUUUUUGCUUUUGCAAAAAAAACCUUUAUCCACCCCAUUUGAACGAACGAUGAUUUAUUUCAUUUUCUCCCAAAACUAUUUUUUUUACCCCAUAUACCAAAACAUGCGAUAGACUGAUAUCAUUUUUAUGAUCAUUAUCUUUUGAUUUAAUGAUACUAAAACAACUCUUAGCAACGGAUAUCUUGGCUCUC
This 230-nucleotide unclassified non-coding RNA is filed under the name rhizosphere metagenome. RNAcentral's name for it is "partial ribosomal RNA internal transcribed spacer region". The record is from RNAcentral.